UUAUCCUUCAUGUAAGCUGCCCAUGUCCCAUGGGUAAUCAAACUCCACAAAUGAGUUGAGACUGAAAGUGCUGGCUAAAGGUUAAAAUAACAUAAAAUUUUAUGCGUUGUGUUUUGAUGAUUCUGUCAAUAUACAUGGAAUUGAACUGUAGGUGGGAACUUCUGGACAAGACACUUGGUGUGGAAUUCACAUGGACCUGUGUAUAGUCUGCUGUGAGAUUUGCAUCAAUGUUAAAGGCCAAAUAAUGACAGUGUAAAAUGGGAAAACGGAGGACUGAGAAGAUUUUAAAGAACAACAGAGGAUUACUAAGAAGGAAAUAUGCAGACAAAAAAUGAGGCAAGGAUGCCCUGAGGCAGGGUGCAUUGGUGAGACCAAACAGAGGCUACAGCAACGCAUGACUGGACACCACGCAACAAUCAACAGACAGGAGUGUUCCCUCCCAGCCAGAGAACACUUCGGCAGUCCUGGACAUACAAUCUUGGACCUUUGGGUGACCAUCCUCUAGGGCGGACUUCAGGACAGGUACCAACGCAAAGUGGCCAAGCAGAGGCUGAUAGCCAAAUGGGGGAGGGCCUCAACCGGGACCUUGAGUUCAUGUCACACUACAGGUGACCCCACUACACACACACACACACACACACACGUUUGUGUGGUGAAUUUGUACUUGCAGAAUUACAUUUUAUUUUUCUCAAAAACUACAUGAAUUCAUGUAAGAUUCUGUAAAUUCCUUUUUAGAUUAGAAUCAGUCAGAACAUUGGGGCACAGACAGCCUCACACAGGGCACCUUACACCUUCGAUGAAUUAUCUGGGCUGACAUGGCACCUAUUGUUAAAGUUCACUUGAGAAUGUAACUUUAAGGAAGUUCUGGGAUUUACAUAUGAAAGAACUGAAACCAGCAUGGUCAUUCUAAAAGAUGAGAGACUUCACAAACAAUCCAGGUCUUUUUCAAUAUAUAAUUUUUUGUUACAUUACACUGUAUACUUUUAGUAUAAGUUCUGCAUCAUGGUCCU
Hemiscyllium ocellatum (epaulette shark) is the source of this 1010-nucleotide long non-coding RNA. RefSeq lists it as uncharacterized. Lineage: Eukaryota; Metazoa; Chordata; Chondrichthyes; Orectolobiformes; Hemiscylliidae. The record is from RefSeq and is a predicted model, not a curated record. The transcript has 4 exons.